CUUGGCAACAGUACAUCCCCAUCUUGUCUCCUUGUCCCACACCAAUGACUGAGUGCCAUGUUUUGCUCUCUUCAACUGUGUUGCAGGUACUGGCAUGUUUAUUUUGCUUCAUAACAUUAAGUGGGAUACCUUGCGCCCCUAUUUGAGUAGGCCUGCCGCCUUUGUAUCACUGUUGGUGCAUAUCCUUCUGUUUCCUGUUGUGCUGGGAAUAGAAUAGAAUAGACUGAGCAGAAUUUUUGGUUUCUGUAGUUGCCUAACUAGGCAAAGGUAAAGGGACCCCUGACUGUUAGGUCCAGUCGCGGACGACACUGGGACUGCAGCGCUCAUCUCGCUUUAUUGGCCGAGGGAGCCGGCGUACAGCUUCCGGGUUAUGUGGCCAGCAUGACUAACCAGAGUAGUGCAUAGAAACGCCGUUUACCUUCCCACCAGAGUGGUACCUAUUUAUCUACUUACACUCUGACGUGCUUUCGAACUGCUAGGUUGGCAGGAGCAGGGACCGAGCAACGGGAGCUCACCCCGUCGCAGGGAUUCGAACCGCCGACCUUCUGAUCGGCAAGCCCUAGGCUCAGUGGUUUAGACCACAGCGCCACCCGUGUCCCACAGUUGCCUAACUAGCAUGCUUCAAUAGGUUAUAAGAAGCCUAUACAGUCGUACCUUGGCUCCCAAACGCCUUGGGAGUCAAACGUUCCGGCUCCUGAACGUUCGAAAACCGGAAGUGAGUAUUCCGGUUUUCAAACUAUUUUUGGAAGCCAAAUGUCCGGUGUGGCUUCCGCUAUUGUUUCUGGCACGCCUGCACAAUCGGAAACCAGUUGGAAGCCGCGCCUUGGUUUCCAAACAUUUUGGAAGUCGAAUGGUCUUCUGAAACAGAUUCCGUUCGACUUCUGAGGUACAACUGUACUAGUUCGUUAACCAGUGUUACCAGGCUUGCUUGGGACACAGGUCUCUCUAUACAUGUAUUUCUGUAACUGCUUCUACAUAUUUGGGGAAUAAUCUUUUUGGAACAUGAUUUACUGGAGGGAAUUUAGCUCAGAUAUGCUAAGGGAACAAUUUCCCACUGUGACCAUGGCACUUUUCUGCUUUCAUUCUGUCUGAGACCCAUUUAAACAACCUGAUACGGUGAAAUUCUGGACUGUACCACUUCAGUUUACAUGUGUGUGUGUUUUCAUAUCUUUAUAUGUUCCCUCCAGUAAAAAGUUACCUGAUAUAGAAAGUGAACAGAUCAGGGAGGAGGAUUUCUUUUUGAUGUCCUACUUUAUUACCUUCAGGUAGAUCUGCAUGUGUGUGUAUAUCUAUAUCUCUCUAUCUCUAUAUCUGAUGGGAGCAUUUAUGACCCUACCCACUGGCAAUCUGCAGUGGCACAGCCAACAACUUUAUUUGCACAACUCCUAGUCUACAGAUAAGUAUCUAGAAUACUUGAUUAGACAGAGUAUUUCUAGUGCUGACAGCAAUAAAUCUCAAGAACUCACCUGUCAAGUUCUCCCAUGGUUACUUAUUCUUACAAAUGCCCUUGUCCCCAGACAUGAUGAUCUUGGGACAUUACAACCACAGUAAAUGCAACUAUUUAAAACUCCAUAUUGCCUUCCCCGUGCAUUUAUCUCACUUAUAUAAAUUUAAUUGUGUGACAAUAAUGGCAGUAAUGAGAUGCAUUAAAAGCAAUGCAACUUCUUCCUAAAAACAUAGAAGUCUGUUUGGGUAUUUUGUUUGUUUGAUUCACAAGUAGAUAAUAAAUUGACAUGCCUGAUCUUAUUUGGGGUAAUUUGUUUACAGCAUAAUGGAUUUUGACAAGGCCAGUUUUCUGCAGCUUUGCUUCGAAAAUGACUCAAAUUUUCCCCAUGUUCAGAACCAAAGGCCUUUCCUUAUAGAAUUUUAUCAACUUUUUGUUAUUAAAUGGGGUUAAAUGAUACAAAGCGGUAAUUCAGGCUUUCUAGGAGGAGUAACCUCAAGCUUCCCAGAAAGAGUAAGAUGCAUUAUUUAUUUAUUUAUUUCUAAAAUGUGUAAGCUGCUCGUCAUCCUAAAAUGAAUUUCAGAAAUUAAAAAUCUACCAAACAUAUCCAGAGUUUUAAUAGGAGUAACUACUUCCUCAAAACUGUCUUGCUUUAACAUUAUUAGGUAAAUAUAAGUUGCCAUUUAAAGUGACAGUAGCCAAUUUUCAAAGCUAUUCUCAUUUGAAGAUGUUGUUGUUUAGUCGUUUAGUCAUGUCCGACUCUUCGUGACCCCAUGGAUAAGAGCACGCCAGGCACUUCUGUCUUCCACUGCCUCCCGCAGUUUGGUCAAACUCAUGCUGGUAGCUUCGAGAACACUAUCCAACCAUCUCGUCCUCUGUCGUCCCCUUCUCCUUGUGCCCUCCAUCUUUCCCAACAUCAGGGUCUUUUCCAGGGACCCUGGACCCAACAUCAGGGACUUUUCUUUUCUCAUGAGGUGGCCAAAGUAUUGGAGCCUCAGCUUCACGAUCUGUCCUUCCAGUGAGCACUCAGGGCUGAUUUCCUUAAGAAUGGAUAGGUUUGUUCUUCUUGCAGUCCAUGGGACUCUCAAGAGUCUCCUCCAGCACCAUAAUUCAAAAGCAUCAAUUCUUCGGCGAUCAGCCUUCUUUAUGGUCCAGCUCUCACUUCCAUACAUCACUACUGGGAAAACCAUAGCUUUUACUAUACGGACCUUUGUUGGCAAGGUGAUUCUCUACUUUUUUAAGAUGCUGCCUAGGUAAACAACAACCCCUUCAUGGAUCACUGCCUUGCCGUGGUGAAGGGGCUUGAAUAACUCAGAGAAGCUAUGAACUAUGCCGAGCAGGGCACCCAAGAUGAACAGGUCAUAGUGGAGAGUUUUGACCAAACGUGAUCCACCUGGAGGAGGAACCGGCAAGCCACUCCAGUAUCCCUGCCAAGAAAACUCCAUGGACAAAGACAACAGGCAUUUGAAGAUACAGUACCAUAUUAAAGUAACUAGUGUUAGGCGGCUGCAGGCAACUCCCACAGCUGGUUGCCAGGCACGUACAAAGGCAUGGAAAAGUUUCUUACUGGCUGCUUUUUAUUCAAUAUUUACAGCCUCUUGGGUAAUGGCAUUGUCACAAGUAAAUCUACCCCCCCUCCCACUUCCUCAUUCAUCAUCAGCAUCACCUCCUCUAUGGGUGCCCUCUGCUUCAAACUCUUUGUUCUCCUACUUUUAAGGCUCGUUGGGUUCUGGGAGAUGGUGGGUCUGGAAUGCUUUCUAAUGAUAACGUGUCAGCCAGCUACUGCUCCAGCUCUGCCUGCUCCUCCUCUCCCAUGAUUUACCAACUUCCCCCCUCAUCUUUCUCUGAGCUGUGACCUCCCUCAGACCCCUGUUGUAAUUCUGAAAUGUCUUCCUCUUCUCUGGAAGGGUCAGGCUGGGGAGGCGGUCUCCACUAUUCCUCCUCUGCCCAGUCCCUGACAACUAGAUAAACUUAUUGUGGACUUCACAAUCUUGAAACAAAUAAUAUCUUUAAUUUAAUACAGUAACUGCAUCUGACUAGCUUUGUACCACACACCUGUACCCCAUAGCUUCCAGCUUUUGGCAAAUUAAGAGUCCAGAUGGAAUAAGGAAAAUGGGAUGGUGGCAGUGGCCCAGGGGUAGGGUGGAAGUUGGGUUUUCGUGCCACAAGAGGUCCAGAGGGUGACAACAUGAGAACAGGCCUUUUCUGCGAUGGCUCCCCGCUUGUGGAAUGCUCUUUCGAGGAAGACUUGCCUAGCACCUUUGUUACAUAUCUUCAGGUGGCAGGUGAAAACAUUUCUCUUCAACUGGGCCUUCGGCUGAUUAACAUUCAAUGGCCUUUUAAAUAUGUUUGGGGGGAUUAUUGAUUUGGUUUAGUUUUAUCUUAUUAUGUAUUUUGUGUUUUCAUAUUUUUAUGUUGUGAACUGCCCUACGAUAUUUGGAUAAAGGGCGUUAAACAAAUUUUACAAUAAUACCACCACCACCACUAUAAAGUAUGGGGGAAGAACCCUUCACACACACAAUUCAUUGAUAUCUGUAGGCUUGUUGACAACAAUGUGAUAGAGGGAUGCUGCCAAGGAUUGUGCCUUCACUCUUUCCCUGUUGAUAGCAAUAAUUCCUGAAUAGCAUUGCUCCUACCCAUACUCAUAUCUUCAUCUUCCUCUUCCUCUUCCUCUCCCUCCCCCCUUCUGUGUAGGCAGGCAGGCAUGUAGGCAUUAAUUACUGGUUUCCUAAAACCCGCCAUUAAACAAAGAAAGAAAAAUGAGAAGAAACAAGUGGGAGAAGAAGCUGGCAUUGAGACAACAGAGAAUACUGAAAGUGCAGAUCAUGGGCUACUCAUCACUACUUCCCUGGCCUUGAUCAACAGGAAUCAAUAAAACAGGGUGAAGCUAUAUAGAAGAAGCUUUCAAAUAACGUUGGAAAGAACCUUUGCUGAAUGGAAGUGGUUGGACAUUAUCAAAGGAUAUUUGUCAAAGAAAAGGGCAUUGCUUUAUCAUACAAUGGUAUAUUAGGGGCGGUGUGGAAUUUCUGUUUUAAUUCUCUGUCCACCUCAUUUCAAAAGUGCAAUGCUUGUGUGUUGAGGAAAAGGGACCUUGGGCCAUAUUAUGUGGCCAUGCUACCAAAGUCACAUAACUUCUUUAAUGCCUGUCGUGUAAAUCAUGAAAUGCAAUGGGAAUCUUCACAUGUUUGUGGAGGUUUCCUGUGCUGUUUAGAAACAAAGGCUAUCAGGCUUCUCAAUGUUGCAGAGAACCCUCACUCCUAGAGGAGUCCUCCUGCUGUAGAGUAUUGUAAACAUGACUGUGUUAGGAUAUAGUUCUGCUCCACCUUAAAAGGAUCAGGCAUGACUGUUGUGUGUCACAUGCCUGUUUACUUCCAGCACAGUCUGCUGGGAACUUCCGUUUGUAUAUUGCUUUUGCUUUUUCCUGUUUUGCUUGGACACGAAGGGAAGCAGACAUAUUUUUCCAUUGUCCUGCUGUACAAUAAAUGCUGUAAAUAUGCUUACACAUGUCUCUGUCUGCUACUUCUGCUGCAAAGAGUUUUAUCUCUGCUGGCUUGUGUGCUUAAGCUUCUGAAGGCUUCUGAGGCUUGACUCACAGUUUUGAUGCUGUUCCGAGAACCGGAGUUUCGCUCGGCU
RNAcentral lists this long non-coding RNA (5077 nucleotides) under Podarcis lilfordi (Lilford's wall lizard). Lineage: Eukaryota; Metazoa; Chordata; Lepidosauria; Squamata; Lacertidae. The record is from RNAcentral.